GGAGAGAUGACCGAGUGGCUGAAGGUGCACGCCUGGAAAGCGUGUGUACUGCAAGGUACCGAGAGUUCGAAUCUCUCUCUCUCCGCCA
This 88-nucleotide transfer RNA is filed under the name Desulfobacterium sp. RNAcentral describes it as "tRNA-Ser". It matches the Rfam family "tRNA". From Rfam's summary of the family: Transfer RNA (tRNA) molecules are approximately 80 nucleotides in length. Their secondary structure includes four short double-helical elements and three loops (D, anti-codon, and T loops). The record is from RNAcentral. Lineage: Bacteria; Pseudomonadati; Thermodesulfobacteriota; Desulfobacteria; Desulfobacterales; Desulfobacteriaceae.